UCGAGAAUCUUCGGCAAUGGGGGAAACCCUGACCGAGCGACGCCGCGUGCGAGAUGAAGGCCUUCGGGUUGUAAAUCGCUGUCAGUGGGGAGGAAAUGCCGGUGGGUUCUCCCAUCGGUUUGACCUAUCCGCAGAGGAAGGACGGGCUAAGUUCGUGCCAGCAGCCGCGGUAAUACGGACCGUCCAAACGUUAUUCGGAAUCACUGGGCUUAAAGGGUGCGUAGGCGGUCCGGGAAGUUGGGUGUGAAAGCCCUCGGCUCAACCGAGGAAUUGCGCCCAAAACUGCCGGGCUCGAGGGAGACAUAGGUGAGCGGAACUUAGGGUGGAGCGGUGAAAUGCGUUGAGAUCCUAAGGAACACCAGUAGCGAAAGCGGCUCACUGGGUCUCUUCUGACGCUGAAGCACGAAAGCUAGGGGAGCGAAGA
RNAcentral lists this ribosomal RNA (424 nucleotides) under uncultured prokaryote. Its description in RNAcentral is "bacterial SSU rRNA". It matches the Rfam family "Bacterial small subunit ribosomal RNA", at positions 355 to 774 of the family's 1533-position model. The record is from RNAcentral.